GACAACGCUGGCGGGCGUGCCUCAUACAUGCAAGUCGAGCGGAUGUAGCAAUACAUCAGCGGCGGACGGGUGAGUAACACGUGGGCAACCUGGCCUUAAGAGGGGGAUAACGUCCCGAAAGGGACGCUAAUACCGCGUAAAUCAACGAGAUCGCAUGAUUUUGUUGGAAAAGGAGUAAUCCGCUUAAGGAUGGGCCCGCGGCCUAUUAGCUAGUUGGUAGGGUAACGGCCUACCAAGGCGACGAUAGGUAGCCGACCUGAGAGGGUGAACGGCCACACUGGAACUGAGAAACGGUCCAGACUCCUACGGGAGGCAGCAGUAGGGAAUAUUCCGCAAUGGGCGAAAGCCUGACGGAGCAACGCCGCGUGAGUGAAGAAGGUUUUCGGAUCGUAAAGCUCUGUCAACAGGGACGAAACAAGACGGUACCUGAGAAGGAAGCCACGGCAAACUACGUG
This 455-nucleotide ribosomal RNA is filed under the name uncultured bacterium. RNAcentral's name for it is "bacterial SSU rRNA". It matches the Rfam family "Bacterial small subunit ribosomal RNA", at positions 32 to 507 of the family's 1533-position model. The record is from RNAcentral.